UGAACCUAGCGGCGAAUGGGUGAGUAACACGUGCUUAAUCUACCCUUUAGAUUGGAAUACCCAAUGGAAACAUUGGCUAAUGCCGGAUACGCAUGGAAUCGCAUGAUUCCGUUGUGAAAGGAGCCUUUAAAGCUCCGCUAGAGGAUGAGGGUGCGGAACAUUAGUUAGUUGGUAGGGUAAUGGCCUACCAAGACUAUGAUGUUUAGCCGGGUCGAGAGACUGAACGGCCACAUUGGGACUGAGAUACGGCCCAAACUCCUACGGGAGGCAGCAGUAGGGAAUAUUCCACAAUGAGCGAAAGCUUGAUGGAGCGACACAGCGUGCACGAUGAAGGUCUUCGGAUUGUAAAGUGCUGUUAUAGGGAAAGAACACCUGGUUGAGGAAAUGCUUCCAGGCUGACGGUACCCUGUCAGAAAGCGAUGGCUAACUAUGUGCCAGCAGCCGCGGUAAUACAUAGGUCGCAAGCGUUAUCCGGAAUUAUUGGGCGUAAAGCGUUCGUAGGCUGUUUAUUAAGUCUGGAGUCAAAUCCCAGGGCUCAACCCUGGCUCGCUUUGGAUACUGGUAAACUAGAGUUAGAUAGAGGUAAGCGGAAUUCCAUGUGAAGCGGUGAAAUGCGUAGAUAUAUGGAAGAACACCAAAGGCGAAGGCAGCUUACUGGGUCUAUACUGACGCUGAGGGACGAAAGCGUGGGGAGCAAACAGGAUUAGAUACCCUGGUAGUCCACGCCGUAAACGAUGAUCAUUAGUCGGUGGAGAGUUCACUGACGCAGCUAACGCAUUAAAUGAUCCGCCUGAGUAGUAUGCUCGCAAGAGUGAAACUUAAAGGAAUUGACGGGGACCCGCACAAGCGGUGGAGCAUGUGGUUUAAUUUGAAGAUACGCGGAGAACCUUACCCACUCUUGACAUCCUUCGCAAUGCUAUAGAGAUAUAGCGGAGGUUAACGGAGUGACAGAUGGUGCAUGGUUGUCGUCAGCUCGUGUCGUGAGAUGUUUGGUCAAGUCCUGCAACGAGCGCAACCCCUAUCUUUAGUUACUAACGAGUCAUGUCGAGGACUCUAGAGAUACUGCCUGGGUAACUGGGAGGAAGGUGGGGAUGACGUCAAAUCAUCAUGCCUCUUACGAGUGGGGCAACACACGUGCUACAAUGGUCGGUACAAAGAGAAGCAAUAUGGCGACAUGGAGCAAAUCUCAAAAAGCCGAUCUCAGUUCGGAUUGGAGUCUGCAAUUCGACUCCAUGAAGUCGGAAUCGCUAGUAAUCGCAGAUCAGCUACGCUGCGGUGAAUACGUUCUCGGGUCUUGUACACACCGCCCGUCACACCAUGGGAGCUGGUAAUACCCAAAGUCGGUUAGCUAACCUCGG
This 1358-nucleotide ribosomal RNA is filed under the name Mycoplasmopsis arginini. RNAcentral's name for it is "Mycoplasma arginini partial 16S ribosomal RNA". It matches the Rfam family "Bacterial small subunit ribosomal RNA", at positions 87 to 1444 of the family's 1533-position model. Lineage: Bacteria; Bacillati; Mycoplasmatota; Mycoplasmoidales; Metamycoplasmataceae. The record is from RNAcentral.